RNAcentral lists this ribosomal RNA (394 nucleotides) under uncultured bacterium. RNAcentral describes it as "partial 16S ribosomal RNA". It matches the Rfam family "Bacterial small subunit ribosomal RNA", at positions 338 to 729 of the family's 1533-position model. The record is from RNAcentral.
CCUACGGGUGGCAGCAGUGAGGAAUAUUGGUCAAUGGACGAGAGUCUGAACCAGCCAAGCAGCGUGCAGGAUGACUGCCCUAUGGGUUGUAAACUUCUUUUAUAUGGGAAUAAACCUGGGUAUGCAUCCCCUCUUGUAUGUACCUUAUGAAUAAGGAUCGGCUAACUCCGUGCCAGCAGCCGCGGUAAUACGGAGGAUCCAAGCGUUAUCCGGAUUUAUUGGGUUUAAAGGGUGCGUAGGUGGAUUGUUAAGGCAGUGGUGAAAGGUUGGGGCUCAACCGUGGAAUUGCAUUUGCAACUGGAAGUCUAGAGUACAGUAGAGGUAGGCGGAAUGUGUGGUGUAGCGGUGAAAUGCUUAGAGAUCACGAAGAACUCCGAUUGCGAAGGCAGCUCAC